UACGGAAGGUGCAAGCGUUAAUCGGAAUUACUGGGCGUAAAGCGCGCGUAGGUGGCUUAGUAAGUCAGAUGUGAAAGCCCCGGGCUUAACCUGGGAAUUGCAUUUGAUACUGCUCGGCUAGAGUAUGGGAGAGGGAAGUGGAAUUCCGGGUGUAGCGGUGAAAUGCGUAGAUAUCCGGAGGAACACCAGUGGCGAAGGCGGCUUCCUGGCCAAAGACUGACGCUCAUGUGCGAAAGUGUGGGUAGCGAACAGG
This 253-nucleotide ribosomal RNA is filed under the name uncultured bacterium. RNAcentral describes it as "partial 16S ribosomal RNA". It matches the Rfam family "Bacterial small subunit ribosomal RNA", at positions 524 to 776 of the family's 1533-position model. The record is from RNAcentral.